CCUACGGGAGGCAGCAGUGGGGAAUAUUGGACAAUGGGCGAAAGCCUGAUCCAGUCAUGCCGCGUGUGUGAAGAAGGCCUUCGGGUUGUAAAGCACUUUCAGUGGGGAAGAAAGCCUUGGGGCUAAUACCCUCGAGGAAGGACAUCACCCACAGAAGAAGCACCGGCUAACUCCGUGCCAGCAGCCGCGGUAAUACGGAGGGUGCGAGCGUUAAUCGGAAUUACUGGGCGUAAAGCGCGCGUAGGCGGUCUGAUAAGCCGGUUGUGAAAGCCCCGGGCUCAACCUGGGAACGGCAUCCGGAACUGUCAGGCUAGAGUGCAGGAGAGGAAGGUAGAAUUCCCGGUGUAGCGGUGAAAUGCGUAGAGAUCGGGAGGAAUACCAGUGGCGAAGGCGGCCUUCUGGACUGACACUGACGCUGAGGUGCGAAAGCGUGGGUAGCAAACAGGAUUAGAUACCCCAGUAGUC
This 465-nucleotide ribosomal RNA is filed under the name Vreelandella stevensii. RNAcentral's name for it is "partial 16S ribosomal RNA". It matches the Rfam family "Bacterial small subunit ribosomal RNA", at positions 338 to 795 of the family's 1533-position model. Lineage: Bacteria; Pseudomonadati; Pseudomonadota; Gammaproteobacteria; Oceanospirillales; Halomonadaceae. The record is from RNAcentral.